This 93-nucleotide transfer RNA is filed under the name Salmo salar (Atlantic salmon). It matches the Rfam family "tRNA". Rfam says of the family: Transfer RNA (tRNA) molecules are approximately 80 nucleotides in length. Their secondary structure includes four short double-helical elements and three loops (D, anti-codon, and T loops). The record is from Rfam by way of RNAcentral. Lineage: Eukaryota; Metazoa; Chordata; Actinopteri; Salmoniformes; Salmonidae.
CUCCCUAUGGCUCAGUUGGUAGAGCAUGGUGUUUGCAACGCCAGCAUGGUGUGUGCAACGCCAGGGUUGUGGGUUCGAUUACCACCGGGGACC